This 206-nucleotide unclassified non-coding RNA is filed under the name plant metagenome. RNAcentral's name for it is "partial contains small subunit ribosomal RNA, internal transcribed spacer 1, and 5.8S ribosomal RNA". The record is from RNAcentral.
UUUCCGUAGGUGAACCUGCGGAAGGAUCAUUCAUAAUAAGUGUUUUACUGCACUUUUUAAAAAUAGUACUCACCUUGUGUGCAAUGUUGUGUUUCUUUUCGGAGAAACACCUACACCAACCUAUAACCUUGAACCACUUUGUCUGAAAAACUAUUAUGAAUACUUAAUUCAAAAUACUACUUUCAACAACGGAUCUCUUGGCUCUC